UCUCUCUGUUUCUCUCUCCUCCUCUGCCUCUCUCUCUCCUCAAAAUCUAUUUCCUCCAUUUUCGUCGGCAUCAACGCUACAACGAAGGUGAAGGUGCAAAUCUGUCUUCGUCUCGUCAAUCUCAUCUCCCUCAAACUCUCCGCCUCUCCGUGAAUGGCCAUUGCCGUCCGUAACUCGUCGCCGCCAUUCUCCAGCUCUUCGUCGUUGUCUCAAGGGUUUCGUGAAAGAUUUGGUAACAUCAUCGACCAUAGCCUUCGACGUGGCCGGCGAACGACGACCGAGGAAGCGAAAGAGCACCAAAGGAAGUAGACGAAAGAGAAGAGCCGCCUACACAACCACCUUUACCUCGUCGUGCAUUUGAGAGGCAGCCACCUUGUCUGGAGGAUACGGCGGUUUUCUCUAUGUAUUAGGACUAAAAGACUAUUAGUUUAAUUUUAGUUAUAUUUAGUUACGAAAAGAAAGGGUUUAGUUACUUACUUUCUCAAUUAUUGUUUUCGUUAAUGAUUUGUUAUGAUUUGUUGUGUUUAGUUAAGAAAUAAAAUAUUUUGAGUUAUUCAUUGUUUUAGUUUAAAAUAA
This is a long non-coding RNA of Spinacia oleracea (spinach), 576 nucleotides long. RefSeq lists it as uncharacterized. The transcript has 2 exons. Lineage: Eukaryota; Viridiplantae; Streptophyta; Magnoliopsida; Caryophyllales; Amaranthaceae. The record is from RefSeq and is a predicted model, not a curated record.